UCAAGAACCUUCCACAAUGGACGAAAGUCUGAUGGAGCGACGCCGCGUGAUCGAUGAAGCCCUUUGGGGUGUAAAGAUCUUUUAUAGGGGAAGAAGUUUAUUGACGGUACCCUACGAAUAAGAGGCUCCUAACUCUGUGCCAGCAGGAGCGGUAAUACAGAGGCCUCGAGCGUUAUCCGGAAUCACUGGGCGUAAAGGGUGCGUAGACGGCACUGUUAGUCUUUUGUUAAAUCCCCGGGCCUAACCCGGGAACCGCAAAAGAAACGGCAGAGCUUGAGUAUGUAAGGGGUGUGCGGAACUCAUGGUGUAGGGGUGAAAUCCGUUGAUAUCAUGGGGAACACCAAAAGCGAAGGCAGCACACUGGUACAUAACUGACGUUCAAGCACGAAAGCGUGGGUAG
RNAcentral lists this ribosomal RNA (400 nucleotides) under uncultured bacterium. RNAcentral describes it as "bacterial SSU rRNA". It matches the Rfam family "Bacterial small subunit ribosomal RNA", at positions 355 to 768 of the family's 1533-position model. The record is from RNAcentral.